This 312-nucleotide long non-coding RNA is filed under the name Lathyrus oleraceus (garden pea). Its description in RNAcentral is "Pisum sativum (pea) long non-coding RNA (PSAT_LNC036244)". Lineage: Eukaryota; Viridiplantae; Streptophyta; Magnoliopsida; Fabales; Fabaceae. The record is from RNAcentral.
UUUUAAGAAAGCCCAAGAGUAAGCUAUGUGAGGUUGAUGGCGAUGCUCAAAAAGCAAUCGACUUACAAGGGUGUGAAAAUGGGCUCGACAUUGAAUCGAGGAAUAUGAUUUUAAUAGUUUUAAAAUGGUUUUGAAUGAAUGAUGAAAUUAAUAAAGAACAGAUUUUGUGUUAUUAAAUAACAAUGAAACCAUGAGUAUAAUAAAACAUAAACAUAAAAAAUGCUAAAAGAAAUAAAAUGCUAAAAGAAAAAAAAAUGCUAAAGGAAAAAAAAUGCUACAUAUGAGUAUUGAACCCUCUCCACUUAAGAUCAU